CUAGGUUGUGGCCUAACACGAAGUAUGUGGAUGUGAUUGUGACAGGGACGAUGUCUCAGUACAUUCCAACUUUGGAUUACUACAGCAAUGGCUUGCCUCUUGUCUGCACAAUGUAUGCUUCUUCCGAAUGUUACUUUGGUGUGAACCUAAGGCCACUAUGCAAACCUAGCGAGGUCUCUUACACGCUCAUACCAACCAUGGCUUAUUUCGAGUUCUUGCCUGUUCAUAGAAACACAGGUGUUACUAACUCCAUCAAUCUACCUAAAGCACUCACGGAGAAAGAGCAACAAGAGCUUGUUGAUCUUGUUGAUGUUAAACUUGGUCAGGAGUACGAGCUUGUUGUCACCACUUAUGCCGGUAAGAAAAUAAAACAUAUUCUAUAAUAGCACAUAAUUAUUUUCAAAAAUAGUAUAAAAAUUAUAUUUAGAUUUUUGGGUUUAGUGAUUAUGGUUUACUAGUAUCGACUAGGUGGAGGUUAGGGUAAAAUUUAGAAUUCAGAGUAAUUUAGCUUUUCUUUUUUUGGCUAUUUUAGUGAUUUUUCUAUUGUAUGCUAUUUUUGACAUGGUAUAAAUUAUGAUAAGAGAUUUGCCCUAAGAAAAUAGAGAAUUUCUAUUAAUUUAUAACAAAAAAAAAAUACACUUUAAGGGUUUAGUCUUAUGUUUGUGUGCUUUGUGAUUUUGAUGCAGGGCUUUGUAGAUACAGAGUUGGUGAUUUGUUGAGAGUGACUGGAUUCAAGAACAAGGCACCUCAAUUUAGUUUCAUAUGCCGCAAGAAUGUGGUCUUAAGCAUAGAUUCCGACAAGACCGAUGAAGUUGAGCUUCAGAACGCGGUAAAGAACGCAAUGACACAUCUUGUCCCAUUUGAUGCCUCACUCUCUGAGUAUACUAGCUAUGCGGAUACAAGUUCUAUCCCUGGCCAUUACGUCCUGUUCUGGGAGCUAUGUUUGGAUGGAAACACACCGAUCCCUCCUUCUGUCUUUGAGGAUUGCUGCCUAGCCGUGGAAGAGUCGUUCAACUCUGUUUAUAGACAAGGAAGGGUUAGUGACAAGUCCAUAGGCCCACUCGAGAUCAAGAUUGUUGAGCCGGGGUUGCCUAGUUUCACCUUCCUUUCAUUCUCCUCCUCUAUAUAUAUCAACACUUCUCUUUCCUUCUUCCUCACACACUAAAAGCUCCUAACAAACAUAAGCUUAUCUCCUUCUCACCCAUCUCAAAAUUGUGCCAGCUUCUCUCUGAAACCAAACCAUGCCUGAGGCACCAAAGUAUGAAUCUUUAGAUGCUUUCGAUCUGACCCUCGACGAGAAGAACAAGAGGAAACUUCAGUUAAUCGAGGAACUGACCUCAAACGCCGACCAAGUCCAGAAACGUGUCUUGGAGGAGAUCUUGACCCGUAAUGCUGACGUGGAGUAUCUCAGGCGUCAUGACCUCAACGGUCGCACAGACCGAGAGACGUUCAAGAACGUGAUGCCUGUUAUAACCUAUGAGGAUAUCCAGCCUGAGAUCAACAGGAUUGCUAACGGUGAUAAAUCUCCUAUCCUCUCUUCAAAGCCUAUCUCCGAGUUCCUCACCAGGUUCGUUAUUAACAUCCUCUCUUCUUCUUCUUCUUCUUCUUCUUCUUCUUCUUCAAAAUGCUCUGUUUUGCUCUGUUUUUGCUCUGUUUUGCUCUGUUUUACUCUGUUUUUCAAGAACCUAACGAAGCUUUCUAUAUGUUCUUUGACAGCUCUGGGACAUCUGGUGGGCAGAGGAAGCUAAUGCCGACAAUCGAAGAAGAACUAGACCGGAGAUCACUUCUCUACAGUUUCUUGAUGCCUGUGAUGAGCCAGUUCGUUCCUGGUCUCGACAAAGGCAAAGGAAUGUAUUUCUUGUUCAUCAAGUCUGAAUCCAAGACGCCAGGAGGCCUCCCUGCUCGUCCCGUCUUAACCAGUUACUACAAAUCUUCCCAUUUCAAAGAAAGACCCUUUGACCCUUACACCGACUACACAAGCCCCAACGAGACCAUCCUUUGCCCUGACUCUUACCAGAGCAUGUACUCUCAGAUGCUUUGUGGCUUAUGCCAACACCAGGAGGUUCUUCGAGUCGGUGCCGUUUUCGCCUCUGGUUUCAUCAGAGCUAUCAAGUUUCUUGAGAAGCACUGGAUCGAGCUGGUCCGUGACAUCAGAACCGGUACCUUAAGCUCCCUGAUCACUGAUCCUUCAGUGCGUGAGGCGGUCGCCAAGAUCCUUAAACCUAGUCCAAAACUCGCGGAUUUCGUGGAGUUCGAGUGUAAGAAGAAGUCUUGGCAAGGGAUCAUCACUAGGUUGUGGCCUAACACGAAGUAUGUGGAUGUGAUUGUGACAGGGACGAUGUCUCAGUACAUUCCAACUUUGGAUUACUACAGCAAUGGCUUGCCUCUUGUCUGCACAAUGUAUGCUUCUUCCGAAUGUUACUUUGGUGUGAACCUAAGGCCACUAUGCAAACCUAGCGAGGUCUCUUACACGCUCAUACCAACCAUGGCUUAUUUCGAGUUCUUGCCUGUUCAUAGAAACACAGGUGUUACUAACUCCAUCAAUCUACCUAAAGCACUCACGGAGAAAGAGCAACAAGAGCUUGUUGAUCUUGUUGAUGUUAAACUUGGUCAGGAGUACGAGCUUGUUGUCACCACUUAUGCCGG
RNAcentral lists this long non-coding RNA (2646 nucleotides) under Brassica napus (rape). RNAcentral's name for it is "long non-coding RNA (BNAP_LNC003033)". Lineage: Eukaryota; Viridiplantae; Streptophyta; Magnoliopsida; Brassicales; Brassicaceae. The record is from RNAcentral.